RNAcentral lists this long non-coding RNA (1622 nucleotides) under Capsicum annuum. Its description in RNAcentral is "long non-coding RNA (CANN_LNC006075)". Lineage: Eukaryota; Viridiplantae; Streptophyta; Magnoliopsida; Solanales; Solanaceae. The record is from RNAcentral.
GAGGACACAUUUUUGGACACAUUUUUUUUUUAUUCAUUUUCUCCUCUCUUUCAAAAUACACAUAUAUUUAUUUUUUACAACUCAUAAACAUUUUUCCUUUGCAAACCCACACACAUAUUCAUAAAUACACAAGCAUAUUUUAUUUAUUCCAUUUUUCUAUUUUUCUCUUCAAAACAUACCACAGACAUAGACACACACUAACACACCACACAUAUACACACACUAAAAUCAGAUGGUUGCUCACUUUUCUCUCACAAAACACGCUACACAAUACAAAUAAUAUACAUUACAUACACAAGCACCAUCUUUUCUCUCUCUAAUGGAUCUCCCUCUUCCCUUUUCUCGCAUCACCAUCAUCUUUAUCUCAUCGCAGCUCCCCCAUCGAGACCCCAACAGGACCAGACGCCACCAUAUCUCUCUUUGUUCUUGCCAUGCCUCGCUGGAGUUGAUCGUCGGCGGGCGGGCCUCAAACUGUUGAUGACCAUAUCCGGCCACCAUUCUUUUACCUUUCUUUUUUUCCUCUAUUUGUGUUGUUGUUUCUCCUCCGUGAAGAGCUCCGGCGAGGUUUUCCCUCGUAGAUUUGCCGCAAAUUCGGCACAAAAGACCCGCUGCUCAGGUGCUUCAUCGCCGUCGAAGUAGCGGUGUUGGUUGGUGUCUUUGUUUAUUUUUGAUGCUUGAUAAUAUUCUUAUUAUGCUUGUUCUUGUCUGAGUUGUUUAGAUCUGACCGGAGUUGGCCAUGGGUUUUCUUAAUAAUUGCUUUUGCAGAUGGUUGUUUACUUUUGCUAUUAUUGCUACUUUGUCUCUGGGUCUGCUGCUGUUUUGCAUCAGACAUUGAUUUUGAAUAAUAUUUAUUAUUUACAUUUAUUUGACUGAUAAAGAACAUGGAUACUACACUAUUUAUAUUUUUAUUUGACUGAUAAGAAAUAAAUACUACACGAAUAUUCGCCAAUGAAAAAAUUAUUAUUAAUUUUGAGGCCUCCGUAAACAAAAGACAGAUUUUACGUAUACAAAUACGUAAUAAAAAUAGUUUUUGGGAGAUGAUGAAACUUUAUAACAACACAAGAUUUUACAACUCAUAUUCUGGCAAGACGAUUUAGGAUGGCCAAUUAAUUGAGCAACCAUUUCGUAGCAAAACGAUUUAGGAUGGCCCAUUAACUGAGCAACCAUUUCGCAGUCAUUACUUUAUCUGAGCCCACUUUUAUCAAAAAAAUAUAUAUUUUUUUAUAAUACGUAAAAAUACACAUUCUCAUUUACUAUUAUUUAUUUGUUACUAAUAUUUUUUUACAGGUGUUUAUACAGAUUAUUUUGGAAUACUCGUAGGGAGUUGCAGCCAAAGAGGCUCUUUUAAUUUUGUAUUGUAUUUUAUAUUCUUAUAUUUGUACAAAUGUUAUUAUAGAGAAAACUUUAUUUUGGGGGUGUUGGGAGGGAUUUUCUUUAUUUAUACGACUUCACCUCGCGUUUAUGCAAACUUAGGCCGUUAAUGUUUACAUUAAUAAAUUAAAUUAAUCAAUUAGUUUACAUACUUUGACAUCAUAAACAUUGUGAUCUUUUCUGUUCAAAUAAAUCUUUACUUUUUUCUCGUAAAUUUUAAAUCAAGUAAAAAAUAUUAUUUUUAAAUAUUU